This 453-nucleotide ribosomal RNA is filed under the name Triticum aestivum (bread wheat). Its description in RNAcentral is "partial small subunit ribosomal RNA". Lineage: Eukaryota; Viridiplantae; Streptophyta; Magnoliopsida; Poales; Poaceae. The record is from RNAcentral.
AUGCCUAUUGCUUGUUGUGAUGAUUAUGAUUGGGAAGAUAAUGAUACUUCUUAUGAUCUUGAAAAUCUUUUUGGCACUUGCUUGGAAGAAUAUGAUAAUUGCUAUACUAUUGGUGCUAUCCAUACUAUUGAUGAUGAAAGUGAUUAUGCUUAUGAUAUGAAAAGGCCCAAGCUUGGGGAUGCUAUGUUUGAUGAAGAUGAUGUUUUUGAGAAUAUAUUUGCUGCAAUUAAUGUUAGUCCCAAGCUUGGGGAAGCUAUGAUUAAUGAAGAUGAUAUUUGUAGUGUCUCAAGUUUUGAUAUGCAAAUUUAUUAUGAUGAUAGUAUGCCUCCUACUUAUGAUAAUUAUGAAAGUGGAUUUGGAGAGGUCAUGACUUUAUUUAGUAAUGAUUCCACGAUCUUGGAAGAGGUUUCAAUCGAUUAUGAUGAGAACAUAGUUGCUACUUAUGAUAAUUAG